Long non-coding RNA from Argiope bruennichi, 3623 nucleotides. RefSeq lists it as uncharacterized. The record is from RefSeq and is a predicted model, not a curated record. Lineage: Eukaryota; Metazoa; Arthropoda; Arachnida; Araneae; Araneidae. The transcript is spliced from 2 exons.
UGUAUUUGUUUAUAUCAUUCUCAUUCUUCGUACAAAAACGUAAGGAUAUAUUAUUCCUAUUUCUCUUUUUAGUGCGUUUUCUUUCCUUUUCAUUCUGAUCAUCUCCAUGAUGAGAACAUGCGCGUCAUCUGACUUUCCCUCAACUGCUUGCUGUGGGUUCUCCACAGUUUGUUUGCUUGAGAGGAUCUUGAAUGGUGAUUGCAUCGUCUGAAAUGGAUAGUGCUGAUUUGUUUGGGCAUUCUUCUUUUUACGUGCACGUAAAAUAUAUGUCUAUAUUUGUUUAUAUCAUUCUCAUUCUUCGUACAAAAACGUAAGGAUAUAUUAUUCCUAUUUCUCUUUUUAGUGCGUUUUCUUUCCUUUUCAUUCUGGUCAUCACCAUGAUGAGAACAUGCGCGUCAUCUGACUUUCCCUCAACUGCUUGCUGUGGGUUCUCCACAGUUUCUUUGCUUGAGAGGAUCUUGAAUGGUGAUUGCAUCGUCUGAUAUGGAUAGUGCUGAUUUGAUUGGACAUUCUUCUUUUUACGUACACGCAAAAUAUAUGUCUGUAUUUGUUUAUAUCAUUCUCAUUCUUCGUACAAAAACGUAAGGAUAUAUUAUUCCUAUUUCUCUUUUUAGUGCGUUUUCUUUCAUUUUCAUUCUGAUCAUCUCCAUGAUGAGAACAUGCGCGUCAUCUGACUCUCCCUCAACUGCUUGCUGUGGGUUCUCCACAGUUUGUUUGCUUGAGAGGAUCUUGAAUGGUGAUUGCAUCGUCUGAUAUGGAUAGUGCUGAUUUGUUUGGGCAUUCUUCUUUUUACGUGCACGUAAAAUAUAUGUCUAUAUUUGUUUAUAUCAUUCUCAUUCUUCGUACAAAAACGUAAGGAUAUAUUAUUCCUAUUUCUCUUUUUAGUGCGUUUUCUUUCAUUUUCAUUCUGAUCAUCUCCAUGAUGAGAACAUGCGCGUCAUCUGACUCUCCCUCAACUGCUUGCUGUGGGUUCUCCACAGUUUGUUUGCUUGAGAGGAUCUUGAAUGGUGAUUGCAUCGUCUGAUAUGGAUAGUGCUGAUUUGUUUGGGCAUUCUUCUUUUUACGUACACGUAAAAUAUAUGUCUAUAUUUACUUAUAUCAUUCUCAUUCUUCGUACAACUUUUUAGUGCUUUUUCUUUCCUUUUCAUUCUGAUCAUGUCCAUGAUGAGAACAUGCGCGUCAUCUGACUUUCCCUCAACUGCUUGCUGUGGGUUCUCCACAGUUUGUUUGCUUGAGAGGAUCUUGAAUGGUGAUUGCAUCGUCUGAUAUGGAUAGUGCUGAUUUGUUUGGGCAUUCUUCUUUUUACGUGCACGUAAAAUAUAUGUCUAUAUUUGUUUAUAUCAUUCUCAUUCUUCGUACAAAAACGUAAGGAUAUAUUAUUCCUAUUUCUCUUUUUAGUGCGUUUUCUUUCCUUUUCAUUCUGGUCAUCACCAUGAUGAGAACAUGCGCGUCAUCUGACUUUCCCUCAACUGCUUGCUGUGGGUUCUCCACAGUUUCUUUGCUUGAGAGGAUCUUGAAUGGUGAUUGCAUCGUCUGAUAUGGAUAGUGCUGAUUUGAUUGGACAUUCUUCUUUUUACGUACACGCAAAAUAUAUGUCUGUAUUUGUUUAUAUCAUUCUCAUUCUUCGUACAAAAACGUAAGGAUAUAUUAUUCCUAUUUCUCUUUUUAGUGCGUUUUCUUUCAUUUUCAUUCUGAUCAUCUCCAUGAUGAGAACAUGCGCGUCAUCUGACUCUCCCUCAACUGCUUGCUGUGGGUUCUCCACAGUUUGUUUGCUUGAGAGGAUCUUGAAUGGUGAUUGCAUCGUCUGAUAUGGAUAGUGCUGAUUUGUUUGGGCAUUCUUCUUUUUACGUGCACGUAAAAUAUAUGUCUAUAUUUGUUUAUAUCAUUCUCAUUCUUCGUACAAAAACGUAAGGAUAUAUUAUUCCUAUUUCUCUUUUUAGUGCGUUUUCUUUCCUUUUCAUUCUGGUCAUCACCAUGAUGAGAACAUGCGCGUCAUCUGACUCUCCCUCAACUGCUUGCUGUGGGUUCUCCACAGUUUGUUUGCUUGAGAGGAUCUUGAAUGGUGAUUGCAUCGUCUGAUAUGGAUUAUGCUCAUUUGUUUGUACAUUCUUCUUUUUACGUACACGUAAAAUAUAUGUCUAUAUUUGUUUAUAUCAUUCUCAUUCUUCGUACAACUUUUUAGUGCUUUUUCUUUCCUUUUCAUUCUGAUCAUCUCCAUGAUGAGAACAUGCGCGUCAUCUGACUCUCCCUCAACUGCUUGCUGUGGGUUCUCCACAGUUUGUUUGCUUGAGAGGAUCUUGAAUGGUGAUUGCAUCCUCUGAUAUGGAUAGGGCUGAUUUGUUUGGGCAUUCUUCUUUUUACGUGCACGUAAAAUAUAUGUCUAUAUUUGUUUAUAUCAUUCUCAUUCUUCGUACUAAAACGUAAGGAUAUAUUAUUCCUAUUUCUCUUUUUAGUGCGUUUUCUUUCCUUUUCAUUCUGGUCAUCACCAUGAUGAGAACAUGCGCGUCAUCUGACUCUCCCUCAACUGCUUGCUGUGGGUUCUCCACAGUUUGUUUGCUUGAGAGGAUCGUGAAUGGUGAUUGCAUCGUCUGAUAUGGAUUAUGCUCAUUUGUUUGUACAUUCUUCUUUUUACGUACACGUAAAAUAUAUGUCUAUAUUUGUUUAUAUCAUUCUCAUUCUUCGUACAACUUUUUAGUGCUUUUUCUUUCCUUUUCAUUCUGAUCAUCUCCAUGAUGAGAACAUGCGCGUCAUCUGACUCUCCCUCAACUGCUUGCUGUGGGUUCUCCACAGUUUGUUUGCUUGAGAGGAUCUUGAAUGGUGAUUGCAUCGUCUGAUAUGGAUAGUGCUGAUUUGUUUGGGCAUUCUUCUUUUUACGUGCACGUAAAAUAUAUGUCUAUAUUUGUUUAUAUCAUUCUCAUUCUUCGUACUAAAACGUAAGGAUAUAUUAUUCCUAUUUCUCUUUUUAGUGCGUUUUCUUUCCUUUUCAUUCUGGUCAUCACCAUGAUGAGAACAUGCGCGUCAUCUGACUCUCCCUCAACUGCUUGCUGUGGGUUCUCCACAGUUUGUUUGCUUGAGAGGAUCUUGAAUGGUGAUUGCAUCGUCUGAUAUGGAUAGUGCUGAUUUGUUUGGGCAUUCUUCUUUUUACGUGCACGUAAAAUAUAUGUCUAUAUUUGUUUAUAUCAUUCUCAUUCUUCGUACUAAAACGUAAGGAUAUAUUAUUCCUAUUUCUCUUUUUAGUGCGUUUUCUUUCCUUUUCAUUCUGGUCAUCACCAUGAUGAGAACAUGCGCGUCAUCUGACUCUCCCUCAACUGCUUGCUGUGGGUUCUCCACAGUUUGUUUGCUUGAGAGGAUCUUGAAUGGUGAUUGCAUCGUCUGAUAUGGAUAGUGCUGAUUUGUUUGGACAUUCUUCUUUUUUGUGCGUUUUCUUUCCUUUUCAUUCUGAUCAUCUCCAUGAUGAGAACAUGCGCGUCAUCUGACUUUCUCUCAACUGCUUGCUGUGGGUUCUCCACAGUUUGUUUGCUUGAGAGGAUCCUGAAUGAUGAUUGCAUCAUCUGAUAUGGAUUAUGCUCAUGUGUUUGGACAUUCUUCUUUUUCAGUCACAUAAAAUAUGUCUAUAUUUGUUA